RNAcentral lists this ribosomal RNA (969 nucleotides) under Triticum aestivum (bread wheat). RNAcentral's name for it is "partial small subunit ribosomal RNA". Lineage: Eukaryota; Viridiplantae; Streptophyta; Magnoliopsida; Poales; Poaceae. The record is from RNAcentral.
AUGGGAAAUAUUGUCAACACUGUUAGAAGAUUAAUGAAUGUGAUUUCUGAGGGCUUAUCUAGAACAGUAUCACCUAAAGAGAACUGUUCUACAGACGCUGUGGUUGCUAAGGGUUCGGAACGUGGUCCAGCCAGGGAUACACAUAAGAGCAAAGAGUUGAGACCACACAGUGUUCCUUCUGGAAAUAAUUUGUUUCACUGCGAUGCUUACGAGAAAUUGAUCAACGGUGAACUUAAUUUAGGUUGUAGAAGCAUUCCUGAGGCUUCAGAGGACUAUAAAAUGGUACCAGAUGAAGAUAGAGCAGUGUCUGGUCCUUUGGAUGUGAGAGGUUGUGAAAGUACCCCUAAAGCUUCGUUAAGGAGACGAGCCGAGCGGAAAAUAACUAAUACAAAAGCAUCAAUUCAGGCGACAGUGCCAACUGGAACUUCAGCCUCUCCAGAUGUGAAACAUCCUAAAAUGGUGCUAUCUCCGCUUACCCGCAGUCGCAGUAAGGCUAUGGCUCUAUCUGUUUCCACACCUGAACAUCUCAAACUGAGAAACGCCAGAUCAGGUCAACUAGUAGUUCCACGGUUGGAUUCAGGAAGCCAAAAAAUUAUCUAUGACGUGGCAAAAGUACCUAUCACCCCAUUGGUGGAGCAAAGUUCUGCAGGUAAAGCGUUGCCGAGUACACCAUCACAAAUGAUCAAAACUCCAAUUCCAUAUGGACGAUCUCCACUUACUCAUAAUAAGGAUAAGGUGUUAUCUGUUGCCACGCCCGAAACUCCCAAACUGAGAAGCUCUAGAUCAGGUCGACUGAUAGUUCCACGUUUGGAUCCAGGAACACAAAGUAUUAUCUAUGACUCGGAUGGUUCUAUCUGCGGCGUAACCAACUCAGAGCUGCAAUGGCCUCAAGGGUGCAAUUCGGAACCACCUGCUAAGAGGAGGUCUCGGUGUUCAUCCCCCGACCAUGGCAGGUUGCUGCUAUUCUGA